CUCGAGAUCAAACAUCCCGAAGAGGCGGUUUACAAAGUACUCAUUCCAGUCAUCGAACUAACUCCGCCUUUCUUUCGAUUUGCGUAAAUUCUUGGCAUUAUUUGAGCCAUCAAGGAGCAAUUUACAACUAUGAGACCAAACUUCCAAAAGGAAAAAACACAUCAAACAAAGAUAGCAAAGGAAGCUAUUGAUUCAUGUGUUCUUUCUAGUCCCGCCCAUAUAUUGAUUGACACGGUGACGUUUGAGUCCUUCUUGGAACUAUUUAAGUUCUAACGUCUUCUUCCACUAGUCAUCGUUCACUGGAACCUUCAAAGGCACGUCAAUUUUCACCUGCAUUGCUUUCUACAAACUUAAUCCGCUACAAUGGGUUCUUUGAAAGGCGAAACCCUAACGCUCAAGAGCAGGGGACAAACGGUCACCGUCAACUGGAAGCAGGGCUCAUUCGUUGGAUUUGGUGGAGACAGAAGUCAAAACUAUGUCCUGUGCGACUACACCACCGGCAACGGUAACAGUGUGCCAGUUUACAUUCAGGGUGGAUACGAUAUACCACAGAAGCUGAAAAUAGAUUCCAGGCUGCAGUAUGGCACACAGGAUAAUGUCCUGUUCUUUGUGUACCAUGACAAGAAUCAGACACCAUACCAAGAGCGAUUCAGGUGCAAUGCCCUACAGCAGUUCGUCUACGCAGCAAACACCGUUCUGAAAAUGGCCAAAGGGAUUGACAUCUCCUGGGCGGUGGGAAACUAUCUGGUCAACGUGUGAACGAUCAACAAACUGUGUGUUUGACCCCUGAGAACCAUCUUGGUUGGCUCAGUUAAUAUAGCUCGGUCAUGCUAGGCGAGUACUGCCCAGUGCUAAACUCAUAAGACAAGAACUUC
Molecule: long non-coding RNA, 875 nt
Organism: Orbicella faveolata
Lineage: Eukaryota; Metazoa; Cnidaria; Anthozoa; Scleractinia; Merulinidae
Source: RefSeq, a predicted model, not a curated record